Molecule: long non-coding RNA, 9393 nt
Organism: Cuculus canorus (common cuckoo)
Lineage: Eukaryota; Metazoa; Chordata; Aves; Cuculiformes; Cuculidae
Exons: 4
Source: RefSeq, a predicted model, not a curated record
GAAUACAACAUAUUAAAUAUUACUAAUAAUGCACCAAAAAGUUAAUAUGCUCACUUCAUCACAUCAACAUCAAAGAAGGUAUUGUAUAGCAAUAGUCAAGGAGCACACAUUAAGUAAAACUAUCUUUUAAUGACUUAAUAAAAUAAUCCUGGCUAGAUACAAAUUCCCCCCCCAACAAGCACAUUCCCAUCAAAUUUAAAACUGACAAAGAGAUUUUCUCAAGAAUUCUGUAAAGCCAUGCCAUAACAGAUAACUCUUUUGAAUAAAUUUUCCCAUUCCAGCACUCUUAAAAAUAAUCUGUCACAAGAUUUUAAAAGACUAAUCUUUAUCCCUCUAAAAAUUCCCACAAAAACAUAGUUCAUCUUUCUAAUAAAUGGUGAAGUUCUUGCUAGUACACCAGUCUUCUGCUCUCUGUUGUACAACUAAAGGUGUUUUAUAAAUUGCUCACUUCCAUGACCAAAUAAGGAAAUAUCAACCCUUUUCUUAAGGAUUUAAAGUUUCCAAAUUCCUAUUUAGUUGAACUUGCAGUCCAAUAUCAUUAAGAUUAUAUAUAAGUUAAGUGUUAUGGAUUCUUCAUUCCAAAAUAUAUGGGAAUUAGAUGGAAGCCUUACCCCCAUGUAGUAUCAAAGCUUUCGUACUGUGUACAGCUCCAGAAACAUUGAUGUAAUGAUCCUAAUUAUUUUUAAAUACUCAUGUUAAGAAAAUACUGCACUGCUACUUCAAAGAUACAGACUCUGGAAGGUCUCAAGACUUUAACUGUUAUGCCAACUUUAAAGAAUAAGCAAUACCAAGUAAAAAGACAGAUCUACAGUGAAAUUAUUUCUAGGAAAUGGCUUGUGAAUAAUACUACCACUGCAGAGCACUCUAAUACAGAGAUUGUACAAAUUAAUUUGCUUUAGAUACACCAUCAUUUUCUUGUCUAUUGCUGCGGUAGAUGUAGUAGCUGCCACCGGCCAGCUGUGGGCUGAGCUUCACAUGCCCACCAGAAAAGAUGUUUGGCUGUUUGGGCAGCAAACACAAGCCAGAAGCCUUUUCCCCAGCUUCUGUGGGAAGGAGAUGGUGGCUUGCACGUUCCCCCAUGCUUGUUUCAUGCCACGUUGAAAGAUUCUGUAGGUGUCUUUGGAAGCUUCUGAUUGAAUGAAUCCAAGAAACUCUUUCCCCAAGCCAACCAAUUCAAGCAGCUAAGACAAUACAAGACCCCAAAGAAGAAGUUCCUAAGGUACUGCAAGCACAAUACCAUCUUAAACCAUCAUGUUCCAUCAUAUUACAUUAAAACAUUUCUGAAAAUAUUUUAGUCCUUAAUACAUCAUGCCCAGCACUCUGAGCAUGCUAACGAUCUCCCUUUAUCUCCCAACACUACUCCUUUUUAUUUUACUAUUAUUUUUGGCAUCAAUUUAUCCAAAAGGUGUUACCCUUGGAAAAAGCACAGUAAAAAUACACACUGCUAAACUCGCUCUUCAACAUGUAGUGUUAGCAGUGGAGACAUGCACUCAAAGAUUCAUAAAAAAAAAACCAAACUAGAGGCACAUCAGUUGUAAGCAACAUAGGAGAUGGACCUAGGUAUACAUAUUAAUGACCUGCAGAGUUAUUAAGUUGCUGGCAUGAUACAGCCAUUAAAAAGCAAAUGACAUCCAAACAUGAAUCGGUUAAACUAUUUCUUAGCAGAGAAAAAGAAAAUAUAUGUGCCAUUGCUUAAGGCACUUGAGACAUCUCACACAGACUUUUUUCAUCAUGUUCAUGGAAGACAAAAGAGGUAAAGAAAAGAGCUGCAGAAAUUACCAGAGAGAAGUCAUUUUAAGAGUAAGGCUGCAAAAUUUUUGUUUAGUCUAGCAGAAACAAAAGCUGAUACAGGAAAUAAUUAUUCUCUAAAAACACAAUAGGGUGGUAAACAGUAGGCAAGGAAAAGAACUAUUUACUCUAGCAGACAAUGUUGGCACAAGAAUAAAUGGGUGUAAUUUGGCCAUGAAUUAAUUUAGACUGGAAAUUAGAAGGUUUCUGACCAUAAAAGAGGUGAGGUUCUAGAGUAGUUUUUUUUAAUACAAAUAGUGUAGACAGAAAAAAAAAAUAGCAAUUCAAGCUAUUUAAUGAUGAAGAUUGUUAAGUUCAUGGAAAAUGCUACAGGCACAGUUUCCUAUGUAAGUAAAACACUGCAUUUUUAGCAUCCAAGACAUAGUUUCCAGCAUUAUGUUUGCUUAUUUUGUGAAAGCAUGGGAUUAAAAAAAAAAAGAAAAUAUUUAUGCAUAAAGCAUUAGAAAUAUUGCUUAAGCAAAAACCAUCCAUAUGUAAAUGAUCUUUGUAAUUAAGUUUGUGCUUUGCAACAAGAAAACAAUUUAACUUGAUAAAUAGGUUGUACUUCAGUGGUUUUGAAACUAAUUCUUUUUAAUGGGAAGAUGCAAUUUGUCACAUGCUAAUUUUCUUGGGAUUUAUAGUGUUUCUACUACUUUUAUUUUGCUUUGUUGUCUUCUUUUAGUCUUUAAAGUUCUAGGCAACAGUUUUAUCAGUGUGCGCGGACAGCAAUGGGAGACAGCUGUAAAAUGAUGUCUGAUUAUUUAUUUAUGCCGAUCUGGCUACCAGGUUCCUCAGAUAAGCAUUUGCUGUUAGUCUAAAACAGUAUUAAGGAAAAAGUAAAAAACUGAUGAUGACUGUGGAAAGAUAGAAUCUGAAUAUCAGAAAGAAAGAAGCAAACAUAAACUAAGCAUAUUUGAGUUAGAAAAAUAACAACUUAAAAUUCAGGAAGGGCAUCCAAAGAAAAUAAGGAAAAUGUUACAAAACUAAUUUGCACAAACACAGAAAGAAUUUGCUGAGAUUGCAGUUAAGAGUUUAGCCUAGAGACUCAACAGUAAAGCACUUAUUAAGAUUUACUUGUGCAGCCUCUGAUGCCUGUAAUAAUUGCACAGUUAAUAGCUAAUAAACAGGGGUCACCCAACACUGUAUUGGGUCUUGAAAUCCAGAUCUGUGUUAUAAUACUAUGCCACAUGGAGAAUUAGUUAUUUGAAAACUAAUCUACGUUCUGUCCUCAGCAGAGCCAAGAAGCAGAAAGAAAAACAAAAACCUGCAAAGGCAAAAUAGAGAUAUUCCCUUAAAGAUGUCAAAAUAUAGACGAGAGAACUCUAUUGAACCAAAGUCAAACAAUUGCAUAUAUGUAGCUUGAAGUCAUGUUAAAAACUGUUAUUUGCAAGUGUAUGUGUACACACACAUAUUUAAGUAUAUAGCUAUAGCUAUAGCUAUAUACACACAUGUAUUUAAGUAUAUAGCUAUAGCUAUAGCUAUAGAUACACAAGCAAACAUACAGAUUUACAUAUUUUUCCAGUUUUGUUGUUGACCAAAUUAUGCAAAGAUAUAGUAAAAAUAAUGCAAAACAGUUCAAGUAUGAAACUCAACUUUUGAUUCACUUUCAUUCACUUUUGUAUGAAAUAAUUGGUUUUUCUCUUCUUCCUUUUUAACCCCUUCUUACUGAUAGUCACUAGCUACUAUAUUCAGUGGCUUUUGCAACUAACAGCCAAGAUUUUACGAAUAAAAGGAGCUCACAUCAUUAAUAAUGCAAUUUCAAAUUCUUUGUGUCUGAAAUUGCCACUCAGAUACCAGUCAUGACACUGAUGAGACAGCUGCCAGUUUUCACUUUUCUGGUUUUUUUCUUUCCUUCUUAUUUCUGCUUGGGGAGUACAAAUGAGUUUUAUAAUAGUGAUAUGGUCUGGUUUAUAAGGGCACAUUUCUGAUGAGGAAUUGUUAUUUCUCCUCGUAUGUAGCUCUCAGGAGAAUGCUAUGACCAGUCUGUUGAACAAGUGACAAGACACUCCUGAGGAAUGUGUUUUCCCUCUGUGAAAACCAGUCUGCCCAUCCCAAUAGCACUCAGUCAGCAGGUGGGACUUUGUAGAGUUUUAUCACUGCUCAUAAAUUAAUAGCUCUUGAUUUAGCUUUUGAAAGUGAAAGUGCAUUUCCAGAGACGAGAAACAAAGAAAAGUUACUUUAAGUGCCAGGUUAUUGUGUGUUUUUGAAGGUUGUGCACAAUGAAAAUGCAGCUACGAAAUAGAAAGAAAUUUAAUACGUUGAGUAUAGUCAAUGGUCAGUAGAGCUCAGGUAGAUAAAAGCAAAUGGGUCUCUCAGUUAAGUUUUACACUUUUGCUGACGAAAGAGGUCACGACCAGAAACUAGAAGAUUGGCAGGGAUUUGAAGAGAUUAUUUGGUUUACACUAGGUAAAGUACAAUGCUAAGGAUUAUUAAGAAGCAGAAAAAUCAGAGUUUAUUCACAUCCCUUCUAAGUUCUGCCUCAUUUUUCAAUCCUGUACCCCAUGCUCCAUUCCUAGUGUUCUCUUUACUGUAGUUAGAUUUUAUCUAAAUUGAUAAUCUCUAGGUCUUACUUAAGACUUUCUCAUGUCUCUGCUGUGAUGCAAAGGGACAGGCAAGAUCCAAAGUUAUACUUCAAGUCAUUUUCAAACCCUGGAAGGAUUCAUGAUUUAUCUAACAAACUGAGCUUCAAAAAAUGAAAUUGCUAGUAAGGCUCCUAUUUGUCAUCAACAUUGAAAAUAUAAUGAAAAAGAGGUGAUAACCCAUGAUUUCUGAUUUCUCUUUGUAUCAGACUAGUUUGAAUUUCUGGCAGGUCCUUGUUAUACCUUUGCCAUUUGGAUACACUGAUUUUGAAGUAAGUUUUCUCAAUGGACUACAUUUUAGUCCCACAGGAAAGUUUAAUAUUUGGGAAGUUACUAAGUACUAUAUCAAUUGCCUCUGUAGCUUUUAUUGUCAGAAAAUGGAAUAAACCUAUCUGGGAGCAAUGAAGAGUAUUAAUUUAAAGUACUUUGCAAAUGGCAAUAAAUCUUAAAAGAUGGGGGGAAGGAAUACGUGUAUCAUGCUAUUUAAAAACCUGGAGAUGGAUACUUCUAAAAUAAUUAGAUAUUUGUCCACCAUCAAUGAAAACUGUCUUCCUAAUUGUGCAAAACCUGUUAUGUUCCUUCAUCUUACUUCAGUUUCAGACUGCUCAUUUAAGUAGAUUUUUUACAUAGACAUAGCAACAUUGACUAAAUCCAGAUAGUAAAGGAAUUUAAAUAACCUUAGAACCCUGAUGCAGUUCAUAAUCACCUCUUUAAGCCAAAACCAAAACCAAAACAAAACACUAGCCCAACCUUCAUGAUUAGUUACAAUAAUUAACAAAACUGAAACACACAUAAUAGGAAUAUCCACAAUUUCUAAUGGUGAAAUUGUACGUCUUGUCUAAACCAACAAGGUUCUCUACCCCAGUAUUCCAGAUUACAAUAGUUUAUUUUCUAGACUUUCUUACUACAAAUCUGUCUCUUAUAAAUGCAGUAGUCUGUCUGUGAGUAAUGACAAUGAGCGACUUACUGCGAGUUAUUUAAAUGCAAAUCCAGGAAAAUCUCUGUCUACACAGUAGGUUGUUACACAGACAUGAAAGAUUUGUUUGCAUUAUACUUAAGUGACCACUGAUAAAUAUACAGAAUGUUGGCUACCUCAUUUCUGGAAGUCACUCCAAUCCAGGCUUGAUAAGUUCUUAAAUCUUUGUAGAAGACACAGGGAGCUUUAAAACCUGGUGCUGGCAGAUCGGAGUCUGUUCAAGACUUCUAUGCAAAUUAAAUUAUAGUCACAUACAUGUAAGUUUAUGAAUGUUCUAAGAGUAUUGGUUAGGUGGUAUUAUUAUUGUUGUUGUUAUUUAGAACUUUUUUUUUCCUAACAACAGGUAUUGGGGGGGGUGUCUUUAUUUGAAUGCAAUUAUCAGUUCAUCAUUACAAGUACAUUUGCAUUUUACAUUUCUUGUAAAAAUAGAUAAGAGAAUUGCGGUGAAGUUAUUAAAAAACUGGGUUGCAUAUAAAAUGUGAAUCUCAGUUUACUGCUUAUAGCUUUACUUUUUCUGUGUUUUCUAAAAAUUACCUCUAUAUAUCUCAAAAUGGCACAUUGCUUUCUCAAAUGAUUAGUGAUUGUUCUUCAGUCAGAUAAAAAUUCAACUCUGAAGUGUAGAUCCUUUGCUUUCCCUUCAUACAGUGCUUUGCACAAUUAUAUUGUUUUUUUCUUGAUAGGCACUGUGACUAGGAACAUGGUAAUGCAAAUAUUUUUCAGCCUAUUGUUAUGAAUGUGCAGACAUUUUGGAAGAAAGUUGACUACUCAUCUACUAAUAAGAUAAACCAUCUGUUCAGAAGUAUGUACCUGCCAAGGCCACUGCUGUAGUGGAAGACGAGAGGACCUGUACAAAUCUGUGACAGUAGGAAGGUUGGGAAUUUUUCAGUACCAAAUUAAGACAGCAUUUUAAUGCUAAAUAAAUAACAAUAAUAAAAAAAUAUGGGUAGGUAUCCAGUCUGUUUCAUACAGUUAUGAUACUGCUUGACAAUUGUAUUUUAUUUUUUGCCCUUGGCACUCCCAAAGUACCGCUGAAACUUGAAAUCCUUUGGAGUGGUUAGUGUCAUGAGUUUUGUGCAUCAGCUAGCGAUCAAAAUUUCCCCAAGUUAUGUAUAGAUAUUUUCCAAGUACAGAAUUAGGAUGUUCUUAUUGCUUUUAAAGAAAAGAUACACAUAAUACAGUCAUUCUUCUCCCAGUUAUAUGAAGGUAUACACAUAAAAACCUGGCAUGGGAAGUAUAUGCAGGUAACUGACUAUGCUAAAGCUUCUCAGCACUUUUCAUUUGCAUGACCUCGUUCUCUGAUGCUUAUAAUCCUGCCAGAUUUUAACCACUCAGCUGAUAUUUUCCACACAGGGCAUUUGCAUCAGAAGACUUUUUUCCCUCCUUGUUUCUACUGUUGUUGUUGUUGUUGUCAUUAUUCCUCUGAUUGUAAGCUCUUGGCCUUAUCCCUGUUUAAAAAAUACAGGAAAUGUCCUUGUGCUGGUGUACCUCGGAGAAGUCAGCAGAGACGGAGUUCAAUGAAGGAGGCAUUGUCCCCGGGAGAUGUGCCUAUUGCUCUCUCUGUGAAAACCCACACACUUUUGGGUGUUUGAAGCUUCCUACACUUUGAAGACCAGAACGAUAAAGAACCAGUCUGAUGCCAAGCUACUGGAAACAAAAGCUCGACUGGAGGGCAGAAAGGAGAGUUAUAAAGUGGGACACUAAAGAAAAGCCUGUUAGGAGAGGAUUAGGAUUGACUAGCUAAAGACUGGGACCUAGAGUGGGAAGAGGUAGGAAAGCAAAGCUCUUGGGAAAAGAGUGGGAAGCCCGGGGAAAGGUGGAUUGAGUGGGCAGCAAGACUGUGACAGGAAGGUUACUUUCCAAAAUGGGCAAAUGCUGACAUAAACAGAAGAACCAACAGCACAGGGCAGGAAAGUUACCUUGUGCUCAAGAAAACCUCUCUUUCUUGAAGACCCUGCUCGUAAUUUACCACCUAUAGCACUGAUCAUGGGAGCAUUGAUUUCCAGCACCAUUUUCCCCUAACGCUAAUCUAUUAACUGUCUGACUCACAUUUGUUGUUGCAAUUAUUUUCAUAAAGUAGCCUAUGAGGUGAAAGAAUUGUUUAGAGUCUUAUUUACAAAAAUAAAAUAAAGCCACAGAGAUUAAUGUCACAAAUAUUGUCUAAACUUGGACAGAUAAUCUGAAGUACCAGAAAGAUUAUAUGUUUUAUUCCUUUACAGAGAAAUUAAUGUUAACUGUACUAUCAUAGACUCCAGAUACUGUUAUGAGGACUCAGCACUUCAGCAAGUCACACGUAAUGGUCAAGCAUUCCAAAGGUGAAGCACAUACCAUUAAAAAGUUUGCUUUAAGUAAUUGCCUAGCAUCACCUUCUGUGGCAGAGGAAAGGACGAACUCCAACCCUCAAAUAUAAUAAAACAAACAUAGAAUACCAAAAAAGCUGAAACUAUAAGCAAUUCAUAACCCUAUCAAUCCCAUCAGCUUGACCAAAGACAGAGCCAUUCCUCACAAAAGGUAAGUGAUAAGUUUAAUAUGAAGAAAAUAAUUCCUUUUUUGAAAAGGAAUUGCAAUAAUCCAUGCUAAUUCCAUACGGGCCAUACUAUAUCACCCAAAAUAAAGGCAAAAAUGCCAUUUUCACUAGCCAUUUAAAAUGGGAUGUAGCUGUUUAAGCUAAUACGAAAUACGUGAUCAGCUUACAUAUAUUACAGGUGCAGUGACAUAGGCAGCUACAUUUAAAUGCAAAUAAAAAGACGUUAAAAAUGUUUUUGAAGAGUAAUGCUGGGGCUAUUUAUAUAUAUGUGGAUAAACAUUAUUGUGAUGUAUUGGGUUAUGGAAACUCUUUUUCCUCAGUCACAAUAUUGAUUGACAAGUUAAAUUUUCUGGGUGACUUGGAGUUUCGAUAGAUGACACUCAUACUAGGUAUAAAUACUACGAGUUUACAGAAGACCUGCCUGUGAAACCAUAGAAACUCAAUAUGUUGCUAUUCCUCUUUAAUUACUUAAUAAUGACAUUUUUUUGGCAUUGUUUUCAUAUAGAAAACAGAAGUCUCUCAUACAUCCCUCUCCCCCAGCCUUGCCAACCAGGGUAUUGCCAUUGGGAACUGAGGAUGUGGGAUCUCAUCCAUUUCCCAUUCUCAGUGAAGCUUUUUACCAUUGCUUGCUAUCCACAGGUCAGAGUGGUGGCCAUUUGCUGUGGCUGUUGUGCUAUUGGAGAUGGUUUACAAAUGAACACAAGAGACAGAAGAAACAGAAAUGGGUGACAAUUCAUUGUCUGUGCUUGGCUAUGCAUGACUAUCUAUGAAUGAGGCACAACUGACUUGGUCUGACCUCUCCUACCUACCAGGGCAAGAGCUCGGAUUUGUGUCCCACUCAUCCAGGUUCACUGACUUGUGUUUCAGGAGUUGAGACCUGUCAGCGUCAAAACUGAAGGUUGUUUCCUGGCUCCACUGGCUCAUCUUGUCUUUCCCUUUGUAUUUCCAUCAGAGGACUCAUGCUGACAAGAUGAAGUCUGAAGCACAUAUAGAAGAGUUCCUGCUAUAGAAUAUCUGUGAGGUUUGUUAUAAUUCUAUAGAUCAGUAAGAGCCACUUUCUCUCUCACGGAUUACCUUGGGCAACAAAUAGUGCAGAGUCCAGGAGGAAGUGUCUCGUCUAAAUAGUUUUGUUGUGAAUGGGAAAUGAAGUUCCUGCAUCCUUCAAGUGACAGCAUUCACUUCCUUCCGCUGAGGCCAAUGUUAAUUUCACGCCCAUUUUCUUCAGAGGCAGUAUCUAACACUGGUAACAUUCUUUCUAAGGCUCAAAAUCUAGGUGUCUCUUAAUAAAUUAAGGAAGGAAAGAUCUUUCCUUACACCUUGUCACAAAUCUCCCAUCCCCAAGCCAUGGGAGAGAAGAUUACCUCUCAAAUCCAAAUGCUGUACUUCAAUGAAAUGGUCCUUAAUAAAACAUAAUAUUCUAUGAGGAUAGAAAGAAGUCAUUUGUCUUUGCUUGCUCCAAAGUCUGCCAGAAUGCAUGUUUAGUGAUGUAUUCUGAGCUGGAUAAGCUCAUCUGUAGACUAUCAGGA